This 490-nucleotide ribosomal RNA is filed under the name uncultured bacterium. Its description in RNAcentral is "partial 16S ribosomal RNA". It matches the Rfam family "Bacterial small subunit ribosomal RNA", at positions 28 to 507 of the family's 1533-position model. The record is from RNAcentral.
GAUGAACGCUAGCUACAGGCUUAACACAUGCAAGUCGAGGGGCAGCGGGAUUGAAGCUUGCUUCAAUUGCCGGCGACCGGCGCACGGGUGAGUAACGCGUAUCCAACCUUCCGUACACUCAGGGAUAGCCUUUCGAAAGAAAGAUUAAUACCUGAUGGUAUGAUGAGAUUGCAUGAUAUCAUCAUUAAAGAUUUAUCGGUGUACGAUGGGGAUGCGUUCCAUUAGGUAGUAGGCGGGGUAACGGCCCACCUAGCCAACGAUGGAUAGGGGUUCUGAGAGGAAGGUCCCCCACAUUGGAACUGAGACACGGUCCAAACUCCUACGGGAGGCAGCAGUGAGGAAUAUUGGUCAAUGGACGAGAGUCUGAACCAGCCAAGUAGCGUGAAGGAUGAAGGUCCUACGGAUUGUAAACUUCUUUUAUAAGGGAAUAAACCCUCCCACGUGUGGGAGCUUGCAUGUACCUUAUGAAUAAGCAUCGGCUAACUCCGUG